UACAGAGGAUGCAAGCGUUAUCCGGAAUGAUUGGGCGUAAAGCGUCUGUAGGUGGCUUUUUAAGUCCGCCGUCAAAUCCCAGGGCUCAACUCUGGACAGGCGGUGGAAACUACCAAGCUGGAGUACGGUAGGGGCAGAGGGAAUUUCCGGUGGAGCGGUGAAAUGCGGUAGAUAUCAGGAGGAACACCGGUGGUGUAAACGGCUUUCUGGACCAUAACUGACGCUGAGGCACGAAAGCGUGGGUAGCAAACAGG
This 254-nucleotide ribosomal RNA is filed under the name uncultured bacterium. RNAcentral describes it as "partial 16S ribosomal RNA". It matches the Rfam family "Bacterial small subunit ribosomal RNA", at positions 524 to 776 of the family's 1533-position model. The record is from RNAcentral.